RNAcentral lists this ribosomal RNA (482 nucleotides) under uncultured bacterium. RNAcentral describes it as "partial 16S ribosomal RNA". It matches the Rfam family "Bacterial small subunit ribosomal RNA", at positions 30 to 507 of the family's 1533-position model. The record is from RNAcentral.
AUUGAACGCUGGCGGCAUGCCUUACACAUGCAAGUCGAACGGUAACAGGUCUUCGGAUGCUGACGAGUGGCGAACGGGUGAGUAAUACAUCGGAACGUGCCCGAUCGUGGGGGAUAACGAGGCGAAAGCUUUGCUAAUACCGCAUACGAUCUACGGAUGAAAGCGGGGGAUCGUCGGACCUCGCGCGGACGGAGGGGCCGAUGGCAGAUUAGGUAGUUGGUGGGAUAAAAGCUUACCAAGCCGACGAUCUGUAGCUGGUCUGAGAGGAUGAUCAGCCACACUGGGACUGAGACACGGCCCAGACUCCUACGGGAGGCAGCAGUGGGGAAUUUUGGACAAUGGGCGAAAGCCUGAUCCAGCCAUGCCGCGUGCAGGAUGAAGGCCUUUGGGUUGUAAACUGCUUUUGUACGGAACGAAAAGCCUCUUUCUAAUAAAGAGGGGUCAUGACGGUACCGUAAGAAUAAGCACCGGCUAACUACGUG